This is a long non-coding RNA of Fukomys damarensis (Damara mole-rat), 556 nucleotides long. RefSeq lists it as uncharacterized. The record is from RefSeq and is a predicted model, not a curated record. The transcript is spliced from 3 exons. Lineage: Eukaryota; Metazoa; Chordata; Mammalia; Rodentia; Bathyergidae.
ACCUGCUACAGGGAGAAAGGUAACCUGGAUAAAGCUGGAGAACAGUCUACGCUCAGGCUGCAUGUUCAAAUUCCUGGCUCAGAUCCUGCACAGGCAGCUACUAAAGCAAACCAAGACCCUACUUGAUCUUCCCUGGGUUCCAUUAGUAAUACUGCCAAGCACGGACUGAAGUACAGAUAAGUGUACCUCUAAAGGCAGGAACUUCUCAGUCAUUAGUAAAAUCACACGCACCUGAUGGUUACCGACCUAAAUGAGCUUGGAAUGGGAAGGUUUCGGUGCCAGAAUGCUGAACACAACCAAACCCCUCACUGUGGUACCCCAAGACUGCUGUCCACACGGAAGCACAGUGGAUGAGGAGAACACACCCAUGCGCAGCAAGAGAUCACUACAGGCGCUGCCCGAUUGGUUCUUCUUUUGAGGAAGGGUUCAGAAGCCUCUCACAAGUGGUUCAACACCAGCUUUCAACAGGCUGGCCAGCAGGAAGAGUCAGAAUCCUUUCGGAAAUCUGAACUAUGUAUUCUGUUGGUAAAGUCUGACAGCAUACAUGAAAUCUCAG